RNAcentral lists this ribosomal RNA (253 nucleotides) under uncultured bacterium. RNAcentral's name for it is "partial 16S ribosomal RNA". It matches the Rfam family "Bacterial small subunit ribosomal RNA", at positions 524 to 776 of the family's 1533-position model. The record is from RNAcentral.
UACGUAGGGGGCAAGCGUGGUCCGGAUUUACUGGGCGUAAAGCGCGUGUAGGCGGCCACGCAGGUCCGUUGUGAAAACUGGAGGCUCAACCUUCAGACGUCGACGGAAACCGUGUGGCUAGAGUCCGGAAGAGGAGAGUGGAAUUCCUGGUGCAGCGGUGAAAUGCGCAGAUAUCAGGAGGAACACCGGUGGCGAGGGCGGGUCUCUGGGCCGUAACUGACGCUGAGGAGCGAAAGCGUGGGGAGCGAACAGG